This 1222-nucleotide ribosomal RNA is filed under the name metagenome. Its description in RNAcentral is "bacterial SSU rRNA". It matches the Rfam family "Bacterial small subunit ribosomal RNA", at positions 255 to 1467 of the family's 1533-position model. The record is from RNAcentral.
AGGUAAUGGCUCACCAAGGCUUACGGGUAGUUGGUCUGAGAGGAUGAUCAGCAACACUGGGACUGAGACACUGCCCAGACUCCUACGGGAGGCUGCAGUCGAGAAUCAUUGUCAAUGCACGAAAGUGUGAACAUGCGACGCCGCGUGGAGGAAGACGGCCUUUGGGUUGUAAACUCCUGUCAGCAGGGAGUAAGGAUGGUUCAUUUAAUACAUGUUCCAUUUGAUAGUACCUGCAGAGGAAGUCACGGCUAACUCUGUGCCAGCAGCCGCGGUAAUACAGAGGUGGCGAACGUUGUUCGGAUUUACUGGGCGUAAAGGGUCCGCAGGCGGCUUGGUGUGUCAGAUGUGAAAGCCCACGGCUUAACCGUGGAAUUGCAUUUGAAACUGCCGAGCUAGAGUACUGGAGGGGAGAAGGGAACACUUGGUGUAGCGGUGAAAUGCGUAGAUAUCAAGUGGAACACCGGUGGCGAAGGCGCUUCUCUGGACAGAUACUGACGCUCACGGACGAAAGUUAGGGUAGCGAAAGGGAUUAGAUACCCCUGUAGUCCUAACCGUAAGCGGUGUGCACUAGGCGUGGGAGGCUUUACCCCCUUCCGUGCCUGAGCUAACGCAUUAAGUGCACCGCCUGGGGAGUACGGUCGCAAGAUUAAAACUCAAAGGAAUUGACGGGGACCCGCACAAGCGGUGGAGCAUGUGGCUUAAUUCGAUGCAACGCGAAGAACCUUACCUGGGCUUGACAUAUAGCUGCAUACGACCCGAAAGGGACGUAGCCUUCGAGGGUGCUAUACAGGUGCUGCAUGGCUGUCGUCAGCUCGUGCCGUGAGGUGUUGGGUUAAGUCCCGCAACGAGCGCAACCCCUGUGUUUAGUUGCCAGCACGUAAUGGUGGGAACUCUAAACAGACUGCUGGUGAAAGCCAGAGGAAGGUGGGGAUGACGUCAAGUCAGUAUGGUCCUUAUGUCCAGGGCUGCACACGUGCUACAAUGGGAUGUACAGCGGGAAGCUAAGCCGCGAGGUGGAGCAAAUCCUCAAAACAUCCCCCAGUUCGGAUUGGAGUCUGAAACUCGACUCCAUGAAGUUGGAAUCGCUAGUAAAGGCGUAUCAGCUACGACGCCUUGAAUACGUUCCCGGGUCUUGUACACACCGCCCGUCACAUCAUGGAAGUGAGUUGCACCCGAAGUUGUUGAUCCAACCCGUCAAGGGAGGAAGGCACCUAAGGUGUGA